UACGUAGGGGGCGAGCGUUAUCCGGAUUUACUGGGUGUAAAGGGAGCGUAGACGGCCAUGCAAGCUCGGUGUGAAAUCCCGCGGCUCAACCGCGGAACUGCAUUUGAAACUGUCAGUCUUGAGUACCGGAGAGGUCAUCGGAAUUCCUUGUGUAGCGGUGAAAUGCGUAGAUAUAAGGAAGAACACCAGUGGCGAAGGCGGAUGACUGGACGGCAACUGACGGUGAGGCGCGAAAGCGUGGGGAGCAAACAGG
RNAcentral lists this ribosomal RNA (253 nucleotides) under uncultured bacterium. RNAcentral describes it as "partial 16S ribosomal RNA". It matches the Rfam family "Bacterial small subunit ribosomal RNA", at positions 524 to 776 of the family's 1533-position model. The record is from RNAcentral.